GCGGGAGUCGCCGCCGCCACGGCGGGGCCGCUGCAGAAGGGUCGUGCUGAAGAAGUCCCUUGCCUGGCUGGCAAAACGUGUUUCCUAACCACAGGAAGGAUUUAGCCAGGGACAGAACGGUGAAUACAGUAUGCUAUAUGAGCUGCCAAGCCAAGCCAAGCAUGAUGGUGGUUAAAGAUUCAGAAAUCACUUUGCUUCAGUUGAAGAUUUAUGAGCAUAGAAAGCCUUUUCUGCAUUUCGUUAUGAUUUGACCCUGACCUCAUUCUUCUUGGAUGCAAAACACAAACUUGCCGUGGAUAUGGCCAUCUUCCAGAGGUCUCUCAUGUUGUCACUUCCUGCCUACCUUCAUUAAGGAAAAAUGGCCGAUUCGAUGGGAAACAUGACAAGAUGUACAGGAUUCUUCUAACCUCAUUAGACAGUGAGGUUGAGGGAGUCCUGAUGAUGCUGAUUGUAAUGGAAAGCUUGGUGGAGAGAGGUCAGAUAGUUGUGUCUGGAAAAAGAGAUGACCGAGGCAUUUAACAGGACACACUAUGGAGAUGUGCAGCAAAUUAAGGGACACACACAGUACAAACAACUGGGGGGAAAUCCAGCACUAGGUUGGUUUUUUGGGGUGGGUGGAGGUCUUGGGUAAGUGCCCCUGAGUGUAGGCCACCUUCUUUGUACAAACUCUUACCAUCCUCGCUACCAUUGGCACUGGCUGCUCUCAUGCCAGGGAGAGUUCUGAUGAUGUAGGCAGGAACAUCGUUUGCUUAUCCUGCUUUCGGUUGGUGCUGCUUGCUUGCUUAUCUCCUCUGGGCCAGAUGAAGGGU
Podarcis muralis (Common wall lizard) is the source of this 809-nucleotide non-coding RNA. Lineage: Eukaryota; Metazoa; Chordata; Lepidosauria; Squamata; Lacertidae. The record is from RefSeq and is a predicted model, not a curated record.